GAUGAACGCUAGCGGCAGGCUUAACACAUGCAAGUCGAGGGGUAUUGGUUUUCGGACCAAGAGACCGGCGCACGGGUGCGUAACGCGUAUGCAAUCUACCUUUUGCAGAGGGAUAGCCCCAGAGAAAUUUGGAUUAAUACCUCAUAGUAUAGUACUUUGGCAUCAAGGAACUAUUAAAGUCACAACGGCAAAAGAUGAGCAUGCGUCCCAUUAGCUAGUUGGUAAGGUAACGGCUUACCAAGGCUACGAUGGGUAGGGGUCCUGAGAGGGAGAUCCCCCACACUGGUACUGAGACACGGACCAGACUCCUACGGGAGGCAGCAGUGAGGAAUAUUGGACAAUGGGCGCAAGCCUGAUCCAGCCAUGUCGCGUGCAGGAUGACGGUCCUAUGGAUUGUAAACUGCUUUUAUACAGGAAGAAACACUCCGACGUGUCGGAGCUUGACGGUACUGUAAGAAUAAGGAUCGGCUAACUCCGUGCCAGCAGCCGACGG
RNAcentral lists this ribosomal RNA (493 nucleotides) under uncultured bacterium. RNAcentral describes it as "bacterial SSU rRNA". It matches the Rfam family "Bacterial small subunit ribosomal RNA", at positions 28 to 520 of the family's 1533-position model. The record is from RNAcentral.